RNAcentral lists this ribosomal RNA (720 nucleotides) under Sulfobacillus sp. enrichment culture clone Q18-15. RNAcentral describes it as "bacterial SSU rRNA". It matches the Rfam family "Bacterial small subunit ribosomal RNA", at positions 505 to 1225 of the family's 1533-position model. The record is from RNAcentral. Lineage: Bacteria; Bacillati; Bacillota; Clostridia; Eubacteriales; Clostridiales Family XVII. Incertae Sedis.
GUGCCAGCAGCCGCGGUAAGACGUAGGGGGCGAGCGUUGUCCGGAAUGACUGGGCGUAAAGGGCGUGUAGGCGGCGCGUCACGUAGCGGUCGGCAGCCGCGGGCUCAGCCGGCGGAGGGCCGCUAAACGGGCGGGCUGGAGGGCAGGAGAGGUGCUCGGAAUUCCUGGUGGAGCGGUGAAAUGCGUAGAGAUCAGGAAGAACACCGGUGGCGCAGGCGGGGCACUGGCCUGGCCCUGACGCUGAGGCGCGACAGCGUGGGGAGCGAACGGGAUUAGAUACCCCGGUAGUCCACGCCGUAAACGAUGGAUACUAGGUGUCGCGGGGGUUCACCCGGCGGUGCCGGAGCUAACGCACUAAGUAUCCCGCCUGGGGAGUACGGCCGCAAGGUUGAAACUCAAAGGAAUUGACGGGGGCCCGCACAAGCAGUGGAGCAUGUGGUUUAAUUCGACGCAACGCGCAGAACCUUACCAGGACUAGACGGGUCCGUGAGCGCCGCGAAAGCGGCGGGCCCCGCGAGGGGAGCGGACGUCAGGUGCUGCAUGGUUGUCGUCAGCUCGUGUCGUGAGAUGUUGGGUUAAGUCCCGCAACGAGCGCAACCCUCGUUUGCUGUUGCCAGCGGGGGAGCCGGGCACUCAGCGAAGACCGCCGGUGACAAACCGGAGGAAGGUGGGGAUGACGUCAAAUCCGCAUGGCCUUGAUGUUCUGGGCUACACACGUGC